This 905-nucleotide long non-coding RNA is filed under the name Gallus gallus (chicken). RNAcentral describes it as "lncRNA (ENSGALG00010002256.1)". Lineage: Eukaryota; Metazoa; Chordata; Aves; Galliformes; Phasianidae. The record is from RNAcentral.
UUAUUUUCCCUUUAGCUUGAGUAAUUCUAGUCUUGGAGAGAGGUUGCUGGCAGUUCUUUCCACCAUAACCUGAAGGCAAAUGUCAUUCUUCUCCUAUGGAAACUGGCAAGAAUAAUGUGGGGUACAGUCUUAAUGUGAACAUAAGAUACUCAUGUCUCCUUCACUGCAUUCACAGAAACCUGCCAAGGGCUGGGAAUGAACUUCUUUAUACAGAAGAAAAUACAUUUAUAUACUAAAAUCUGAUUCUGAAAGUAAAGAAUCUAUUUACUUAGUGAUUAAUUAUGAGACGCUUCCAGGUUACUCGUAAGCAUGUACAAAUUAUUUAUUCCUACUCCAUAGUCCUUACUCCGAGCAAAACACACACAAUAGUCUCUAAGCCUGAAACAUCUCCUCAGAGUUCUUGGUGUUACCCAGAUAACUGCUGUCACAACAUUGAAUGGAUUUAUUUCUUUUUUUUAAAGGGAUCAACCUUCCUACUCACAGGCUUCCAUGGCCAUGCAAAAAUCUUUUUUGAAGCUCCUCUUUGAGUUCCCUGUGGCAAGAAACAGCUGUUUCUGUUCUAAACUCGGCUCCUCAUGCUCUCAGGCCAAUCAUGUCAAUCUGGUGGAGUAAAGGUCUAAAGGUAAAUUAUGUUCACAUCUCUUUUUAGGUAUUUUUGUGUCCAUUAAUUGUAUUGGGUAUCUUCACAGUGAUUCAGGUGUCCCAGUGUAUUUUCCAGUCCUUCUGUAAUUUGCAAAUGCUCACAGUCAGAAAUGGUAUAUUACAAAGAGCCGCUCCUACUAAAAUAUCACCAGUGGGAAUCCAUCAGUGAAAUUUUAUGUUCCAUUAAUGAAAUUUCCAUUAGUGAAAUUAGUUAUACAGCCAACAUAACCAUCUAUUAUAUGUUGGAUCAACACUCCUCUCCC